Molecule: unclassified non-coding RNA, 252 nt
Filed under: uncultured fungus
Lineage: Eukaryota; Fungi
Description: partial contains small subunit ribosomal RNA, internal transcribed spacer 1, and 5.8S ribosomal RNA
Rfam family: Eukaryotic small subunit ribosomal RNA (bases 1-73)
Source: RNAcentral
GCAAACUUGGUCAUUUAGAGGAAGUAAAAGUCGUAACAAGGUCUCCGUUGGUGAACCAGCGGAGGGAUCAUUAAAGAGUUGUAAAACUCCCAAACCCACUGUGAACAUACCUCUGUUGCCUCGGCGGCCCUCUUUGGGGGUCGCCGAAGGACUUUAAAACUCUGUUUUAUAUGUCAUCUCUGAGAAAAUACAUAAUAAGUCAAAACUUUCAACAACGGAUCUCUUGGUUCUGGCAUCGAUGAAGAACGCAGC